UGGGGAAUCUUGCGCAAUGGUCUAACGACUGACGCAGCGACGCCGCGUGUGGGAGGACGCCUUUCGGGGUGUAAACCACUGUUGCCCGGGACGAACAGCGCUAUUCGUGGCGUCUGACGGUACCGGGUGAGGAAGCACCGGCUAACUCCGUGCCAGCAGCCGCGGUAAUACGGAGGGUGCGAGCGUUGUCCGGAAUCAUUGGGCGUAAAGGGCGCGUAGGUGGCCCGGUCAGUCUUUGGUGAAAGCGCGGGGCUCAACCCUGCGUCGGCCAGGGAUACUGCCGCGGCUCGAGCACUGUAGAGGCAGGCGGAAUUCCGGGUGUAGCGGUGGAAUGCGUAGAGAUCCGGAAGAACACCGGUGGCGAAGGCGGCCUGCUGGGCAGUAUGGCUGACACUGAGGCGCGACAGCGUGGGGAGCAAACA
This 422-nucleotide ribosomal RNA is filed under the name uncultured Gemmatimonas sp. RNAcentral's name for it is "bacterial SSU rRNA". It matches the Rfam family "Bacterial small subunit ribosomal RNA", at positions 355 to 774 of the family's 1533-position model. Lineage: Bacteria; Pseudomonadati; Gemmatimonadota; Gemmatimonadia; Gemmatimonadales; Gemmatimonadaceae. The record is from RNAcentral.